This 467-nucleotide ribosomal RNA is filed under the name Bacillus aerophilus. RNAcentral's name for it is "bacterial SSU rRNA". It matches the Rfam family "Bacterial small subunit ribosomal RNA", at positions 56 to 506 of the family's 1533-position model. The record is from RNAcentral. Lineage: Bacteria; Bacillati; Bacillota; Bacilli; Caryophanales; Bacillaceae.
UGCAAGUCGAGCGGACAGAAGGGAGCUUGCUCCCGGAUGUUAGCGGCGGACGGGUGAGUAACACGUGGGUAACCUGCCUGUAAGACUGGGAUAACUCCGGGAAACCGGAGCUAAUACCGGAUAGUUCCUUGAACCGCAUGGUUCAAGGAUGAAAGACGGUUUCGGCUGUCACUUACAGAUGGACCCGCGGCGCAUUAGCUAGUUGGUGAGGUAACGGCUCACCAAGGCGACGAUGCGUAGCCGACCUGAGAGGGUGAUCGGCCACACUGGGACUGAGACACGGCCCAGACUCCUACGGGAGGCAGCAGUAGGGAAUCUUCCGCAAUGGACGAAAGUCUGACGGAGCAACGCCGCGUGAGUGAUGAAGGUUUUCGGAUCGUAAAGCUCUGUUGUUAGGGAAGAACAAGUGCAAGAGUAACUGCUUGCACCUUGACGGUACCUAACCAGAGAGCCACGGUUAAACUACC